Molecule: ribosomal RNA, 253 nt
Filed under: uncultured bacterium
Lineage: Bacteria
Description: partial 16S ribosomal RNA
Rfam family: Bacterial small subunit ribosomal RNA
Source: RNAcentral
GACAGAGGUCCCAAGCGUUAGGCGGAAUCACUGGGCUUAAAGCGUGUGUAGGCGGAUGCCUAAGUACCUUGUGAAAUCCCACGGCUCACCCGUGGAACUGCUUGGUAUACUGGGUGUCUUGAGCCACUUAGGGGCUACCGGAACAAAUGGUGGAGCGGUGAAAUGCGUAGAUAUCAUUUGGAACGCCAAUGGUGAAAACAGGUAGCUGGGAGUGUGCUGACGCUGAGGAGCGAAAGCGUGGGGAGCGAACAGG